UUAAUAUGACAAUGUAUUAUAUAUUAUCAAGUUACGACGGCAUACAAAAUAUUACAUGAAGUGGAUUACCUUGGUGGUUAUCAAUUAAUUGGUAAGUUCCCCUAAAUUUUAAAAUUACCGUCAUGCUAUUUGAGUUUUAAUCAAGAAGAUUUUAGUACUCAGUAUUUUUAAAUGGAUAUUGUAUAAAAGGGUAUCUAAUCCUUGUUUAUGAUCAAUAUUAUAAAUAUAUUAGAUUAUAUAAGAUUAUAAAUGUGCUAUUUCACCAAUAUUAAUAUAUAAGCUUUAUUAUACUAUACAUAGUUUAUUACUAUAAAAGUCUGACCGCGACUGCUGGCACUUUUUAAGUCAUAGUAUAUAUAAUUGGUUUAUUCUUACUUUCAUAAAUUUUUAAAUUUUCUUUCCUGGUAAAGAUCUUUU
RNAcentral lists this ribosomal RNA (417 nucleotides) under Mandarina exoptata. RNAcentral describes it as "partial 12S ribosomal RNA". The record is from RNAcentral. Lineage: Eukaryota; Metazoa; Mollusca; Gastropoda; Stylommatophora; Camaenidae.